GGGCGAAAGCCUGACGGAGCAACGCCGCGUGAGUGAUGAAGGUCUUCGGAUCGUAAAACUCUGUUAUUAGGGAAGAACAUAUGUGUAAGUAACUGUGCACAUCUUGACGGUACCUAAUCAGAAAGCCACGGCUAACUACGUGCCAGCAGCCGCGGUAAUACGUAGGUGGCAAGCGUUAUCCGGAAUUAUUGGGCGUAAAGCGCGCGUAGGCGGUUUUUUAAGUCUGAUGUGAAAGCCCACGGCUCAAUCGUGGAGGGUCAUUGGAAACUGGAAAACUUGAGUGCAGAAGAGGAAAGUGGAAUUCCAUGUGUAGCGGUGAAAUGCGCAGAGAUAUGGAGGAACACC
Molecule: ribosomal RNA, 345 nt
Filed under: uncultured bacterium
Lineage: Bacteria
Description: bacterial SSU rRNA
Rfam family: Bacterial small subunit ribosomal RNA
Source: RNAcentral